This 45-nucleotide non-coding RNA is filed under the name Schistosoma curassoni. Lineage: Eukaryota; Metazoa; Platyhelminthes; Trematoda; Strigeidida; Schistosomatidae. The record is from RNAcentral.
AUCCAGCUGCUGAGUCCCAAGUAGGACGAAACGCGCGUCCUGGAU